RNAcentral lists this microRNA (22 nucleotides) under Acanthopleura granulata. RNAcentral describes it as "Agr-Mir-1994-P2_3p (mature (guide))". RNAcentral also lists the same sequence under 4 other names. Lineage: Eukaryota; Metazoa; Mollusca; Polyplacophora; Chitonida; Chitonidae. The record is from RNAcentral.
UGAGACAGUGCGUCCUCCCUCA